This 1239-nucleotide long non-coding RNA is filed under the name Ananas comosus (pineapple). Its description in RNAcentral is "long non-coding RNA (ACOM_LNC006012)". Lineage: Eukaryota; Viridiplantae; Streptophyta; Magnoliopsida; Poales; Bromeliaceae. The record is from RNAcentral.
UCUAUUUACUUAAAAGGUUAAUUUUAUACAAAAAUAUAAUCGAAUAGUAAAUUUAUCCCUACAAGAUUUAACUUUUUCAUAUUUAUCCUUGCAAAAGCUAAAUGACAUUCAUAUUUGCCCUCUGAUUUAUUAUCGUUAGAGCACUGUUUAUUUUUUAAAUAGAAAAUAAGUGAAAUAAUAUUUUUGACAUCACAAAUAUACCCCUCGAAAAGCCCAAACUGUUAAAAUUAUAUAAAAAUAUCCUCCAAAAAAUCUCUAAUGGUCAUCUUCUUUCUUUUACCAUCACAAAUAAUAUAAAAGGAAUAAAAAGGUCAAUUUACCUCAUUCACUAAUCAAGAUUAAGUAUUUUACCUAUGGUUAACUAUAUAUUUCUAACGGAUCUUAACAGUAGGAGUAUAUUUGAAAAUAUUAAAACUUUUGUAAGAAUAAAUAUAAAAUGUUGAAUUUUGUAGAAAUAUAUCUGCUAUUCGAUAUGCUUAUAGAGAGUUGCAUGCAAUUAACCCUUACUUAGAUAAAAGUUAAAAAAUAUAUAUUUAUUUGACAGUAGUUUAAUUUUGUGCCAAAAAGGUAUAUAAAAUGUGUUUUGCAAAAAUUAAUGUGUUUUCUCAAAAAACUAAAAUAGAAAUCACACGGGUUGUAGCAUUACACUUCAAACCACAAAGUGGUGGUGUUUUUUCAAUCUACAAUCAAUAAAAUAUAGAGUAAACUUCAAAUACCCCCAUUGUGGUUUCGCACUUUCUCACUUUAAUAUCUUGUGUUUUAAAGUGUAUCAAGUUAGCCCCUGUGGUUUCGCACUUUCUCACUUUAGUAUCAUGUGGUUUAAAGUGUAUAAAGUUAGUACCCUAUGGUUUCUUUUUUUUCUUUUUAUUAUCUAUUUUACUAAUUUUUUUCGUUAAUUAAAAAUUAGUGACAAAGUUAAAAUUAAAGGGUACUAAAGUGAAUAUUCGAUAAACUAGGUAGAGUAUCUGAAGUUUUUUAUAUUUAAUUUAAUGAAAUAUUAACGGAGGAAAAAAAAUCAGUGACAAAGUUAAAACUANAAAUAAUAUAAAAGGAAUAAAAAUGUCAAUUUACCUCAUUCACUAAUCAGGAUUAAGUAUUUUACCUAUGGUUAACUAUAUAUUUCUAACGGAUCCUAACAGUAGGAGUAUAUUUGAAAAUAUUAGAACUUUUGUAAGAAUAAAUAUAAAAAGUUGAAUUUUAUAGAAAUAUAUUUGCUAUUUGAUAUGCUUAUAGAGAGUU